Long non-coding RNA from Etheostoma spectabile (orangethroat darter), 275 nucleotides. RefSeq lists it as uncharacterized. NCBI's taxonomy places the organism in Eukaryota, Metazoa, Chordata, Actinopteri, Perciformes, Percidae. The record is from RefSeq and is a predicted model, not a curated record. The transcript is spliced from 3 exons.
GAGACAAGGCAAUGCACAGAUGGAGGACAUCACACCACAUUAAUAGGUGUGUGUGGUGUGUGUGUGUGUGUGUGUAAAUCUGAUCAACAAGUGAAAAGAGUCAGAUAACAGGAAAGAGUUUGAAAACUAUGAUUUGACGACCACUGCAGAAUUGGCCUGCUCAGAGGAAGAGGCACUAAUGAUUCUAGAAAAGAGGAAGCCAAAGAAGACCUACACACAUUUUAAAAUGGAUCUCUCAGUUGCCAUGAUGAUCAAGAUAUUCGACGGAGAAAUGU